RNAcentral lists this ribosomal RNA (310 nucleotides) under uncultured eukaryote. RNAcentral describes it as "partial 18S ribosomal RNA". It matches the Rfam family "Eukaryotic small subunit ribosomal RNA", at positions 1470 to 1796 of the family's 1831-position model. The record is from RNAcentral.
CCCUUAGAUGUUCUGGGCGGCCCGCGCACUACAAUGGCGCUUUCAGCGAGUUCCUAUGUUGAAUUUUCCUUGGUAUUCUUGGAAGCGGCGUCUUGACUUGGGAUAGAUCCUUGUAAUUGUUGGUUUUGAACGAGGAAUUCCUUGUAAUCGCGGUUGAUCAGCUCGCGUUGAAUACGUCCCUGCCCUUUGUACACACCGCCCGUCGCUCCUACCGAUGAAUCGUCCGGUGAAGUUCACAGAGUGGCGGUUCGUGGAGUUGCUCGCGAAGUGAAAUGGACCUCACGAUUUAGAGGAGGGAGAAGUCGUAACA